RNAcentral lists this ribosomal RNA (861 nucleotides) under uncultured bacterium. RNAcentral describes it as "bacterial SSU rRNA". It matches the Rfam family "Bacterial small subunit ribosomal RNA", at positions 35 to 943 of the family's 1533-position model. The record is from RNAcentral.
AUUCGAUUCAGGCCUAACACAUGCAAGUCGCACGGUCAGCAAUGGCAGUGGCGGACGGGUGAGUAACACGUAGGAAUCUAUCCUGGGGUGGGGGACAACAGCGGGAAACUGCUGCUAAUACCGCAUGAUACCUGAGGGUCAAAGGCGCAAGUCGCCUUGGGAGGAGCCUGCGUCUGAUUAGCUUGUUGGUGGGGUAAAGGCCUACCAAGGCGACGAUCAGUAGCUGGUCUGAGAGGAUGAUCAGCCACAUUGGGACUGAGACACGGCCCAAACUCCUACGGGAGGCAGCAGUGGGGAAUAUUGGACAAUGGGGGCAACCCUGAUCCAGCAAUGCCGCGUGUGUGAAGAAGGUCUUCGGAUUGUAAAGCACUUUUGGCAGGGACGAUGAUGACGGUACCUGCAGAAUAAGCCCCGGCUAACUUCGUGCCAGCAGCCGCGGUAAUACGAAGGGGGCUAGCGUUGCUCGGAAUGACUGGGCGUAAAGGGCGCGUAGGCGGCGCGUACAGUCAGAAGUGAAAUUCCUGGGCUCAACCUGGGGACUGCUUUUGAUACGUGCGUGCUUGAGUGAGGAAGAGGGUUGUGGAAUUUCCAGUGUAGAGGUGAAAUUCGUAGAUACUGGAAAGAACACCGGUGGCGAAGGCGGCAACCUGGUCCUUUACUGACGCUGAGGCGCGAAAGCGUGGGAGCAAACAGGAUUAGAUACCCUGGUAGUCCACGCUGUAAACGAUGUGUGCUGGGUGUUGGGAAACUUAGUCUUUCAGUGUCGUAGCUAACGCGAUAAGCACACCGCCUGGGGAGUACGGCCGCAAGGUUGAAACUCAAAGGAAUUGACGGGGGCCCGCACAAGCGGUGGAGCAUGUG